AGGGGUAAAAGUGGGGUUGAGCGGACUUUUAAUCCGUUGGUCACAAGUUCGAAUCUUGUACGUCCUA
This 67-nucleotide transfer RNA is filed under the name Extensimonas vulgaris. RNAcentral's name for it is "Comamonadaceae bacterium S4 tRNA". It matches the Rfam family "tRNA". From Rfam's summary of the family: Transfer RNA (tRNA) molecules are approximately 80 nucleotides in length. Their secondary structure includes four short double-helical elements and three loops (D, anti-codon, and T loops). Lineage: Bacteria; Pseudomonadati; Pseudomonadota; Betaproteobacteria; Burkholderiales; Comamonadaceae. The record is from Rfam by way of RNAcentral.